Molecule: ribosomal RNA, 900 nt
Filed under: uncultured archaeon
Lineage: Archaea
Description: bacterial SSU rRNA
Rfam family: Archaeal small subunit ribosomal RNA
Source: RNAcentral
GUGGCAGCAGCCGCGGUAAAACCAGCACCUCAAGUGGUCAGGAGGUUUAUUGGGCCUAAAGCAUCCGUAGCCUGCUGUGCAAGUCUUCGGUUAAAUCCAUCUGCUCAACAGAUGGGCUGCCGGUGAUACUACACGGCUAGGGAGUGGGAGAGGUCGAUGGUACUCGGUGGGAAGGGGUAAAAUCCUUUGAUCCAUUGAUGACCACCUGUGGCGAAGGCGGUCGACCAGAACACGUCCGACGGUGAGGGAUGAAAGCUGGGGGAGCAAACCGGAUUAGAUACCCGGGUAGUCCCAGCUGUAAACGAUGCAAACUCAGUGAUGCCUUGGCAUGUAGCCAAUGCAGUGCCGCAGGGAAGCCGUUAAGUUUGCCGCCUGGGAAGUACGUUCGCAAGAAUGAAACUUAAAGGAAUUGGCGGGGGAGCACCACAAGGGGUGAAGCCUGCGGUUCAAUUGGAGUCAACGCCAGGAACCUUACCCGGGGAGACAGCAGAAUGAAGGUCAAGCUGAAGACUUUACCAGACAAGCUGAGAGGAGCUGCAUGGCCGUCGCCAGCUCGUGCCGUGAGAUGUCCUGUUAAGUCAGGUAACGAGCGAGAUCCCUGCCUUUAGUUGCUACCAUUAUUCUCAGGAAUAGUAGGGCAAACUAGAGGGACUGCCAUCGUUAAGGUGGAGGAAGGAAGGGGCAACGGCAGGUCAGUAUGGCCCGAAACCCUGGGGCUACACGCGGGCUGCAAUGAUAGUGACAAUGAGUUUCGAAUCCGAAAGGAUGAGGCAAUCUUCAAACACUAUCUCAGUUAUGACUGAGGGCUGCAACUCGCCCUCACGAAUAUGGAAUCCCUAGUAACCGCGUGUCAUAACCGCGCAGUGAAUACGUCCCUGCUCCUUGUACACACCGCCCGUC